Molecule: microRNA precursor, 141 nt
Filed under: Setaria italica (foxtail millet)
Lineage: Eukaryota; Viridiplantae; Streptophyta; Magnoliopsida; Poales; Poaceae
Also listed under: 1 other name
Description: MIR2118 microRNA precursor family
Rfam family: MIR2118 microRNA precursor family
Source: Rfam by way of RNAcentral
GCAUGGAAGAGGAAGAAAAGAGGGUCUAAGAGCAAUUGGCAUGGGAACAUGGAGGAAGGCUAAUGAGGUGGAAAUCUAUUUGUCUUCCUGAUGCCUCCCAUGCCUAUUGUUCUUAGGUGCUCCUUCCUCUUCCUUUUGGAU